This is a long non-coding RNA of Conger conger (European conger), 2729 nucleotides long. RefSeq lists it as uncharacterized. The record is from RefSeq and is a predicted model, not a curated record. NCBI's taxonomy places the organism in Eukaryota, Metazoa, Chordata, Actinopteri, Anguilliformes, Congridae. The transcript is spliced from 2 exons.
GUCAGUUGCUGUGUCGCCUCUCCCUGUCAUGGAUUAUUCUAAGUACCUGGGACGCUGUCUGCUAUUUUUUUUCUUGGCCCUAAUAUUUGAUGUUGCUGGCCUAAUCCUCUUUUUCUUGGGGAUUUUUGCCCCCUUUUCUUUCUGGGAUUUCUUUGUCCUGUCUGGACCACUGGUCAUUUUCCUCAGCCUGGUAUUCUGGAUAUUUUGGUACUUGGGGAACCUCACUCUCUCCGAAGAAGAGCUGCUUCUUCCAAUGUAAAGUGCAUCUUGUCACUAAAAUGGCACUGGUUUCCAUUGAAAGCAUUUACACGUACUGUGGACCUUGUGGAGCUGGAGGAAUUGCAUCAGUUUGCCAUGGAAGCUUUUCUUGGGAAAAGAGAAUAUAAGCAUCCAUUUUUCUCCAACGGAAAGGAAUAUGUUGCUCUAUGAGACAGAAAAGAUUUUCCAUCUUCUCCUCUGAACUUGAUUUCGGCUGGACCUUAAAGGUCACAAUGUGUGAACUGUAUCUUAAGGACUUGCCUUUGAGAGCAAACAUCAACGAUGGCUUCAGGAAAGCCUGCACACACCUUUCCAAACCUGAUUCCUUAUUUAUUUUUCAAAUACGAACAAUGUCAUCCAGUUUCAUCAUUUUAUUUUUAGUUUUUAUCAUUUAACAAUGAAUAUUGUUAUCAUGACCAUAUCCAUACUCAGGUACAAUGUAUCAAGAUAGAUGUUUUGUAAGGCAUUUACACUCAAAGAAGGUGAAUGCCAAACAAAUAUCACUUGGGGAACACUGUGACCUUAAGGGGGGUGCAAUAGAUGAAUACAGUGCUGAUAAUAGAGAAAGGUGUAGAGAAAAUGUCUUUAUUGGGGGCAUUAAUAUUGAGUCUUGGUGAAAUGCCUUCAAUCUAUAUAUAUAUAUAUAUAUAUAUAUAUAUAUAUAUAUAUAUAUAUAUAUAUAUAUAUAUAUAUAUAUAUAUAUAUUUGCAGAAAGGCCAUUUUAUGGGAAUGUUUGCCUGAAACCUCUGCUGCUGCUAGAUAUGCCAUCACAACCAAAACCAGCCUAACUGGAUUUGUUUCUUCAGGAGUGUGUUACCAUGUGAUCUCAACCGACAAUAGACUUAGAACAGGAAACAGAUCUACCCUUUCUCAACAGCUCUAAAUAAGCCUGGAAUUUCUCUGCAGUUGUAUGAUAAUUAAACAGGAAUGUAUUAUUUCACUGCAACCUGGUAUGGUAAUCGCAUGAAUCUACAAGCUGGAGUAAGCCUAAAAACAGUAUGUAAUGUAAAACAUAACUGGUUUUUCAACUGAGAGACACGCCCCGUGGCUGUUAUGUGAUGACAUUUAAGAUGUGCCACGUUCUGCUCUAUGUACCUGAAUCUACGGUAAAACGAGUUAACCAUUCAGACGAGAAUCUGAAAUGGACAAAGCAGCAUUUCAGGAAGAAAACAUGAUUGAGUGAGCCAAAACAUUAAUGGCUGCCAAUGUAAAUGCAGGGAUAUGUAACUGAGGAUCCCACAGAGUCACAAAUAGUUUUCCCUGAACCAAAUUAACAAAGGAGGGCUUAUGCUGUGGUUUUGCAUUGUACACACAACAACAUAUUCACCAAGUGAUAUCCCAGUGCUUGUAUGUUGAGAAGCUGUUACAAAUUGUAUGCGAUGUCACUAUUUCCAUUACUGAGAACAGCUAUUGUGUGUAGGUUUAAUUAUCUCUCUGUUUUGCAUAUGCACUCUCAAACAUUCAUACAAAGAAGUGUUUGUGUCCUUAUGUAUAAUGUAUCACUGUGGCUAGUAUACUAUGCAGGAAGUAUAGGUUAGGUACUGCAUUUGGCUUCCUGGCUGAAAUGCGAUGAACAGUAUUGUGAGAACCCGCUCACACCUGUGGGAUGAAGUUUCCUGUUUACAGCAAAUUAAAUUGUCUCUCUGUCUAUUCAAGCAUUCAAUGCUGACACCUCUGAAAAGUAACCGUCACACACAGCAGGGCCAGAACAUGAUACCGCUUUGCACCACUGGAAACAAAGAUGGUGAGAUAAGGUUCUACCUGUUGUCAAACAGAACACUCCCUCAGGCCACUCCCUGUUUUUUUAUUUGCGUUUCUUUUUUCUUUUCUUUUUUGUUGUUUGCUGGCAGCCAUUGUUUCCAUGAUUCUGUUCUCUCAAUCAGGAUGUUUCAUUCCAGGAAAAAAAGUUAUUAUCUAAUAUUAAGGUAGAAAUACUGCACCCAUGGUUUGUGAACACGCACCCAAAUAAGCAAACAUGUUUUUAUCAUUUGCACAUUUUUUUAUCCAAACAGGUCUGACCAAGAACAGAAUGAUGAAGCAUAUGCGGGGACAUUAUUGGCAGUGUAGAACUACACAGUGCCAAUUUCAGUUGGAUUAUGUUUACAUUCUCAUAUAUUUUGCCAUCAUGUUCAGAAAUUCAGAAUACUCAGUAUAUUCGGGCCUAAUUUUGUUUCAUAUUUCUUGUUCUUUCUUAUAGUUACAAUGUGGAGCACCUAUGGGAUGCAUAAAAACACUUCUUAAGAGAUGCAUGUGGAUUUGUAACAGUUGCACAAUUGUCCAUGUCAUAAAACUAUUAUAAUGUAUCAGGUAUCAUAAUUACUUCUACCAGUAAAAUAAUGUCCUUCCUUGUCAGUUUAUUGUAUCCUGUGACUAUUGUGUAUAUCAGCUACAAUAUGCAAGUGUUGAGGAUGUCAAAAUAAAUGAAUUUCACUCUGCACUUCCUACCAAUAAAGCAUCUUGCAUAGCCAUGA